UACUCCUACGGGAGGCAGCAGUGGGGAAUUUUGCGCAAUGGGGGAAACCCUGACGCAGCAACGCCGCGUGAGUGAUGAAGGCCCUUAGGUCGUAAAGCUCUGACAGAGGGAAAGAAAUGCGGGGAGGCUAAUAUCCUUUCAGCUUGACGGUACCCUCAAAGGAAGCACCGGCUAACUCCGUGCCAGCAGCCGCGGUAAUACGGGGGGUGCAAGCGUUGUUCGGAUUUAUUGGGCGUAAAGCGCGUGUAGGCGGUUUUUUAAGUCUGAUGUGAAAGCCCUGGGCUCAACCUGGGAAGUGUAUUGGAUACUGGAAGACUUGAAUACGGGAGAGGGCAGUGGAAUUCCUGGUGUAGGAGUGAAAUCCGUAGAUAUCAGGAGGAACACCGGUGGCGAAGGCGGCUGCCUGGACCGAUAUUGA
This 418-nucleotide ribosomal RNA is filed under the name uncultured bacterium. Its description in RNAcentral is "bacterial SSU rRNA". It matches the Rfam family "Bacterial small subunit ribosomal RNA", at positions 334 to 743 of the family's 1533-position model. The record is from RNAcentral.